UUGAACGCUGGCGGCAUGCCUUACACAUGCAAGUCGAACGGCAGCACGGGAGCAAUCCUGGUGGCGAGUGGCGAACGGGUGAGUAAUAUAUCGGAACGUGCCCAGUCGUGGGGGAUAACGUAGCGAAAGCUACGCUAAUACCGCAUACGAUCUACGGAUGAAAGCGGGGGAUCGCAAGACCUCGCGCGAUUGGAGCGGCCGAUAUCAGAUUAGCUAGUUGGUGGGGUAAAAGCUCACCAAGGCGACGAUCUGUAGCUGGUCUGAGAGGACGACCAGCCACACUGGAACUGAGACACGGUCCAGACUCCUACGGGAGGCAGCAGUGAGGAAUCUUGCGCAAUGGGGGAAACCCUGACGCAGCAACGCCGCGUGAGUGAGGAAGGCCUUCGGGUCGUAAAGCUCUGUCAGAUGGGAAGAAAUGGAUGGGGGCUAAUAUCGCCCAUCCUUGACGGUACCAUCAGAGGAAGCACCGGCUAACUCCGUG
This 484-nucleotide ribosomal RNA is filed under the name uncultured bacterium. RNAcentral's name for it is "bacterial SSU rRNA". It matches the Rfam family "Bacterial small subunit ribosomal RNA", at positions 29 to 507 of the family's 1533-position model. The record is from RNAcentral.